RNAcentral lists this ribosomal RNA (477 nucleotides) under uncultured bacterium. RNAcentral's name for it is "bacterial SSU rRNA". It matches the Rfam family "Bacterial small subunit ribosomal RNA", at positions 365 to 832 of the family's 1533-position model. The record is from RNAcentral.
UUCGCAAUGCCCGAAAGGGUGACGAAGCGACGCCGCGUGCGGGAGGAAGGCCUUCGGGUUGUAAACCGCUGUCGGGAGUUAAGAAAUGCAAGGAUGUUAAUAGCGUUCUUGCUUGACUAAGGCUCCGGAGGAAGCCACGGCUAACUCUGUGCCAGCAGCCGCGGUAAUACAGAGGCGGCAAGCGUUGCUCGGAAUUAUUGGGCGUAAAGAGCACGUAGGCGGCUGUGUAAGUCGGUUGUGAAAGCCUUCCGCUCAACGGAAGAACGGCAUCCGAUACUGCAUGGCUUGAGUGUGGGAGGGGAGAGUGGAACUUCUGGUGGAGCGGUGAAAUGCGUAGAUAUCAGAAGGAACACCGGCGGCGAAGGCGACUCUCUGGUCCAUAACUGACGCUGAGUGUGCGAAAGCUAGGGGAGCAAACGGGAUUAGAUACCCCGGUAGUCCUAGCCGUAAACGAUGGGCACUAAGUAGAGGGGUUUU